AAUCAACGCGUGGCGGCGUGCCUAACACAUGCAAGUCGAACGAGAAAGUGACUUCGGUCACUGGAAAGUGGCGUCCGGGUGAGUAACACGUGGGUAAUCUACCCUCGGGUGGGAAUAACGGAUCGAAAGAUUCGCUAAUACCGCAUAAUGCAGCGGCACCUAAUGGUGAAUAGUUGUUAAAGCGGGGAUCGCAAGACCUCGCGCCUGAAGAGGAGCCUGCGGCAGAUAGCUAGUUGGUGAGGUAAUGGCUCACCAAGGCUUCGAUCUGUAGCUGGUCUGAGAGGACGGCCAGCCACACUGGGCACUGACACACGGGCCAGACUCCUACGGGA
This 332-nucleotide ribosomal RNA is filed under the name uncultured bacterium. RNAcentral describes it as "bacterial SSU rRNA". It matches the Rfam family "Bacterial small subunit ribosomal RNA", at positions 37 to 346 of the family's 1533-position model. The record is from RNAcentral.